UACCGUCCUCGCCGGGGGCUUUGCGCCUCUUCA
This 33-nucleotide small RNA is filed under the name Bombyx mori (domestic silkworm). RNAcentral's name for it is "ovarian small RNA-2958". Lineage: Eukaryota; Metazoa; Arthropoda; Insecta; Lepidoptera; Bombycidae. The record is from RNAcentral.